CGGAUAGUAGUUCAGAUGGGAGUAACGCUUGAUUUAUUCAAGUAGUCACAGGUUCAAGUCCUGUCUAUCCGA
Molecule: transfer RNA, 72 nt
Filed under: Bacteriophage sp.
Also listed under: 1 other name
Description: tRNA-OTHER
Rfam family: tRNA
About the family: Transfer RNA (tRNA) molecules are approximately 80 nucleotides in length.
Source: RNAcentral